CAGAGUUCAUGCCCUUCGGGGUAGACCUCCCACCCUUGUGUAUUUAUACCUUUGUUGCUUUGGUAGGCCGUUGGGCUUCGGCCCGGCUACCGGCCCCGGCUGGUGAGUGCCUACCAGAGGUAACCAAACUCUGAAUGUUAUUGUCGUCUGAGUACUAUAUAAUAGUUA
RNAcentral lists this unclassified non-coding RNA (168 nucleotides) under uncultured Cryptosporiopsis. RNAcentral's name for it is "sequence contains ITS1". The record is from RNAcentral. Lineage: Eukaryota; Fungi; Ascomycota; Leotiomycetes; Helotiales; Dermateaceae.